Molecule: long non-coding RNA, 636 nt
Organism: Mauremys reevesii (Reeves's turtle)
Lineage: Eukaryota; Metazoa; Chordata; Testudines; Geoemydidae
Exons: 5
Source: RefSeq, a predicted model, not a curated record
GUCCAAGACCAAGAGAUGCCUGAUUGUAACAUCUUUGAAUGUCUGUCCUGACCACAGGUUACAUGUGCAUAGAUGCUAAGGAGAAUAAGAACUAUGAAAAAAGGGAAUGCCAAUAUUCAUGGUGUGUGGAAGUACAGGAUUGUCAGGAGAAGCACCCAGGCAGAAAGGGAAGAACAAUAGCCCAGCCUCUCUGCAAACACCCAGGACUCCUGAUUUGAAUGUCACUCCAAGUCCUUUUGAGAUGGCUGAACUGGUUUAACCUGUCUCAGAAAGCACAGGAGAACCAAGGACUUAGGCUGGAUUGAGAGUAGCAGCAAGCACAGGUGCUGCUGGAGGACCAUCUGCAGCAAGGAUGAGGAAAGUCAGAGAAAAAAUUCUUGUGACUUGAAAAUUCCCUCAUCUGAGCACAUUUUCAGGAUGGCUGAGAUCUCUAAUAGUUGCUAGUAUCUACUAAAUCUUCACUCUACUUGGGGAUGAUUGAGCAGUGUCGAGAGAGAGUCCAUCAGAAACAGCAACAUCACCUUCCCUUCAAUUUGAUGGUGGAAUUUUAUCAAGAGGCUCCCAGGAGUCCUGAACCAGUUUUCCUGCAUCUUCCUCAUUAAUUUUCCAACUUAUCAUUAAACUCUUUGGGCCAAA